Gambusia affinis (western mosquitofish) is the source of this 1380-nucleotide long non-coding RNA. RefSeq lists it as uncharacterized. The transcript has 2 exons. The record is from RefSeq and is a predicted model, not a curated record. NCBI's taxonomy places the organism in Eukaryota, Metazoa, Chordata, Actinopteri, Cyprinodontiformes, Poeciliidae.
GGUGACACAGACAAUGGCCAAGAAAUGACAGACACAACUAAAAGGAACCGGACCAAAACAACUAUUUCCACACCAGCGACAUUCCAUCGUAUGCUUUUGCAAGGACACGUUUAUGUGCCUUUCAAGGUUUUGAUAGAACAUUGUCAGGAGGAAGCUUAAAAUUUGCCCUGAAUAAUAGGCUGAGGACUCACAGAGCGAUCUACAUAAAAGAUACAAGGCCACUUUGCCCCUGGGCACUGUGCUCUCUAUUUGCAUGUCAUCCUUUAUUUUCUACUAUCUUCUGUUUAUUUUAAAACCUACAGGCAUGUUUGCCUUUUGUACUCAUUUUAACCUAACAGUUAAUGGAACCCGUGAUUCAUCAUAACACUUUAGAUCUUAAUCAUAAGGUGUUUUCUGCUUGGUACCUUUGUUUGUGUUUUAAUUAGGCAGACCUUGUGCAUCUCCAACCCUGGGCUUCUUUUUAAUUGCCCGUAUUUACAUCAGGCAGACAUCAAACGCAGAGAGAGAGACAUUUGUAAGGGUGAACACAAAGCAGCCCUUUGAAAUGUCUACAGUCAUAUGAAAUGGCAUGCUAAUUAAAAAUCUAAGGCUGCCUCUGUGAUAGAAGAAGCAUUUAUAUUUGUAACUGUGGUGUAUAGACUGUCUCCAUAACUCAUCAACACACAGAGGCCAUAGUGUUUAUUAUCAGGCUCCCUACCUGUUUACAGACCACCAAGUAACCUUUCCAUUCCCAUUCAUCAAACAGCACAAAUGCCCUGCCUGUAAUUUAACACCAAAUUUCAAAAGGCUAAAUCAUUUUAAACAUUUUACACCAUGCUCUUUGAUCUGUACUGGCAUACAGUGCACGAGCACAGAUACAAUGAAUCUAGUUUACCAAGCUAUGAUUUACCCUUUAGUUCAUUAAGGUUAUUGCCAGUGAAUACUUGACCAUUCAACAGCUUAUUUUGCAUUUCUCACCAAGUGGAGAAAAUGUAAUUUAAUAAAGCUAAACCACAACCUUACGUUUGCAGUUCCCAUGUGCAAACCAUCCCGGAUUUACCUGAGGAAGUCCUUUUAGAUUUGGAAAAUUAGACUAAUUUACUUUCAUUACAUAUUUUAAAAUACAUUUGAAACAAAACAAUUACAUAAAAUAAAAAAAUUACAAAAACAUUUUACCUUUUUUCUCACUGGCAUAAAAUCAAACUACGCUUUCUACAAUAAUUAUUUCUAUUUGCUAAAAGGUUUCUAGUUCUUUCUGAUAUGUUCAUGUUAAUUGAUCUGAGGUAAAUUGUGGCACAUCUGUAGAUGUAUUUUAAAGUAACACUUCAAACAUAAUUCUUGCCUGGUUGGCAUCAUUAAAAAUGAUAAGAAAUCUGCCAAGACGCAAGGAAAAGAUUUAUG